UACGGGGGGGGCAAGCGUUGUUCGGAAUUACUGGGCGUAAAGGGCUCGUAGGCGGCCAACUAAGACGGAUGUGAAAUCCCCAGGCUCAACUUGGGAACUGCAUCCGAAACUGGAUGGCUUGAAUUCGGGAGAGGGAUGCAGAAUUCCAGGUGUAGCGGUGAAAUGCGUAGAUAUCUGGAGGAAUACCGGUGGCGAAGGCGGCAUCCUGGACCGACAUUGACGCUGAGGAGCGAAAGCUAGGGGAGCAAACGGG
This 253-nucleotide ribosomal RNA is filed under the name uncultured bacterium. RNAcentral describes it as "partial 16S ribosomal RNA". It matches the Rfam family "Bacterial small subunit ribosomal RNA", at positions 524 to 776 of the family's 1533-position model. The record is from RNAcentral.